AUCGCGGUAAAGGUUGGUUAAAAAUAAUAACAAAAUAAAGCCGAAUGCUCCCUCAACUGUUAUACGUUCUCGAGAGCCAGAAGACCCCCUACGAAAGUAGCUUUAAUACUAUUGAACCCACGAAAGCUAAGACACAAACUGGGAUUAGAUACCCCACUAUGCUUAGCCCUAAACUACAAUAAUCUUUUUACAAAAAUUAUGCGCCAGGGAACUACAAGCAUUAGCUUAAAACCCAAAGGACUUGGCGGUGCUUAAUAACCCCCUAGAGGAGCCUGUUCUAGAACCGAUAACCCUCGUUUAACCUCACCCUUUCUUGUUCAUCCCGCCUAUAUACCGCCGUCGUCAGCUUACCCUGUGAAGGAUACAAGUAAGCACAAUCAGUA
This 383-nucleotide ribosomal RNA is filed under the name Omobranchus fasciolatoceps. Its description in RNAcentral is "partial 12S ribosomal RNA". It matches the Rfam family "Bacterial small subunit ribosomal RNA", at positions 611 to 1107 of the family's 1533-position model. The record is from RNAcentral. Lineage: Eukaryota; Metazoa; Chordata; Actinopteri; Blenniiformes; Blenniidae.